UGGCAUUGAAGUCCCCCGCUACGAUGAC
RNAcentral lists this small RNA (28 nucleotides) under Bombyx mori (domestic silkworm). RNAcentral's name for it is "ovarian small RNA-34780". The record is from RNAcentral. Lineage: Eukaryota; Metazoa; Arthropoda; Insecta; Lepidoptera; Bombycidae.